GAUGAACGCUGGCGGCGUGCCUAAUACAUGCAAGUCGAACGAAACUUCUUUAUCACCGAGUGCUUGCACUCACCGAUAAAGAGUUGAGUGGCGAACGGGUGAGUAACACGUGGGCAACCUGCCCAAAAGAGGGGGAUAACACUUGGAAACAGGUGCUAAUACCGCAUAACCAUAGUUACCGCAUGGUAACUAUGUAAAAGGUGGCUAUACUACCGCUUUUGGAUGGGCCCGCGGCGCAUUAGCUAGUUGGUAGGGUAAAGGCUUACCAAGGCAAUGAUGCGUAGCCGAAUUGAGAGGUUGAUCGGCCACAUUAGGACUGAGACACGGCCCAAACUCCUACGGGAGGCAGCAGUAGGGAAUCUUCCACAAUGGGCGAAAGCCUGAUGGAGCAACGCCGCGUGGGUGAAGAAGGUCUUCGGAUCGUAAAACCCUGUUGUUAGAGAAGAAAGUGCGUGAGAGUAACUGUUCACGUUUCGACGGUAUCUAACCAGAAAGCCACUGCUAACUACGUG
This 512-nucleotide ribosomal RNA is filed under the name uncultured bacterium. RNAcentral's name for it is "partial 16S ribosomal RNA". It matches the Rfam family "Bacterial small subunit ribosomal RNA", at positions 28 to 507 of the family's 1533-position model. The record is from RNAcentral.